UUACGUUGUUAUCCCUAAGGUAAUUUAAUCUUAUAAUCAAAAUAAAUGGAUCAAAAAUAUAUACAUAAAUAUAUAAAAACAAAGAGGAGUUAAAUAAUAUUCCUCCCAUCACCCCAACAAAACAAUUCACUCCCACUCAAUGUAAAUAAAUACAAACAACAAAUAAAUGGGAAAAUUGUCAAACUCUAUAGGGUCUUCUCGUCCCAUAAAAACAUUUAAGAAUUUUAACUCAAAAACCAAAUUCAAUAAACCAAUACCUCUAAGACAGCUUAUGUCUCGUCAAGCCAUUCAUACCAAAUCACAAUUAAAGAACUAAUGAUUAUGCUACCUUUGCACGGUCAAAAUACCGCGGCCCUUCAACUCUAAGUCAGUGGGCAGGCCAUACUUCAAAAACUAACAAGAAAAGAUGUUUUUGAUAAACAGGCG
Molecule: ribosomal RNA, 426 nt
Filed under: Nasutitermes costalis
Lineage: Eukaryota; Metazoa; Arthropoda; Insecta; Blattodea; Termitidae
Description: partial 16S ribosomal RNA
Source: RNAcentral